RNAcentral lists this ribosomal RNA (253 nucleotides) under uncultured bacterium. Its description in RNAcentral is "partial 16S ribosomal RNA". It matches the Rfam family "Bacterial small subunit ribosomal RNA", at positions 524 to 776 of the family's 1533-position model. The record is from RNAcentral.
UACAGAGGUCCCAAGCGUUGUUCGGAUUCACUGGGCGUAAAGGGUGCGUAGGUGGUCGGGUAAGUCUGAUGUGAAAUCUCCGAGCUUAACUCGGAAAUGGCAUUGGAUACUAUUCGGCUAGAGGGUUUGAGGGGGGACUGGAAUACUUGGUGUAGCAGUGAAAUGCGUAGAUAUCAAGUGGAACACCAGUGGCGAAGGCGAGUCCCUGGAAAACUCCUGACACUGAGGCACGAAAGCUAGGGGAGGAAACAGG